This 1501-nucleotide ribosomal RNA is filed under the name Mesopenaeus tropicalis. RNAcentral's name for it is "eukaryotic LSU rRNA". It matches the Rfam family "Eukaryotic large subunit ribosomal RNA", at positions 72 to 1152 of the family's 3401-position model. The record is from RNAcentral. Lineage: Eukaryota; Metazoa; Arthropoda; Malacostraca; Decapoda; Solenoceridae.
GGAUUCCCUCAGUAAGGGCGACUGAAACGGGAAGAGCCCAGCGCAAAGCCUCGCGCUCCGAUAUCUAAGGGCGUGAGGGGUGCUGCGUUCGGGAGAGGUCCUGCACGCGCUUCCGCACCGCCUAAGUUGUACAUGAAUGACUCUCAUACCCAGGGAGGGUGUUAGGCCCGUGUGGCGGUAUGCAGCCCCUGCGCGCAAGCGCGGGGGAAGGUACGGAAGUGCGGAACGGGCCCCUCCUUAGAGUCGGGUUGCCUGAAACCGCAACCUAAAGUAGGUGGUAAACUCCAUCUAAGGCUAAAUAUGACCACGAGACCGAUAGCGAACAAGUACCGUGAGGGAAAGUUGAAACAGAACCCUGUAGAGAGAGUUCAAGAGAACGUGAAACCGUUAAGAGGCUAAACGGGUGGAGAUUCGAAGAUCGAACUUGGGGGAUUCAGGCUGUCGGUAGCCGGGAGGGGGUUCGGGCGCUGGGUCGUGGGCUUGCGGUCCGCCGUGGUCCGCGGCCCUACUCGACCUUCCGACUGUCGUCCGCUCUUGUGGCGGGCGCGACCGGAGGGCGUGGCCCGUCCCUUAACCCUGGUGCCGGCGGGCGAUCUUCCCCCUGUAGUAGGUCGCCGCGAUGCGUUGGGAGGGCGUCUUGAGGCCCGGGUGGCAGGAACCGACGACGAAGCUCUCCCUUCCUCUCUCGGGAGGUUUGGGUUUGCGGAGGCGUCCGGGGAUCCCCUGGUGUCCUUGUCUUGCUCUCCCGACGAUCUCUCCUUGGGGCUCUCGGCGUUUCGGCGCCGUCUGCCUUCGCGGCGUGUAAAGUAUCGAUGCUCUACCCGACCCGUCUUGAAACACGGACCAAGGAGUCCAACAUGUAUGCGAGUCAAUGGGCGCACUAAACCCACAGGCGCAAUGAAAGUGAUACACUGGCUCCCCGCAAGGGGGGCGGGGCCGAUCCCUCGAGACGUGGCGGCCGAGUGCCCGGCCGGAGUGACCGCUUUUCCUCCUCGGGCGCCCGGCUUUUAGUCCGUCCCGCACGCCUCCUCUCGUCCUCGCUGGCGGGAGGAGGGGGGCGCAGGUCCGGGACUCGCCAGGACGAACGGCGAAGGCGGCGGGUCAAACCGCCGUCAGUAGUCGGAUGUGUCGGCGAGUACCUUGAGCAUAAAUGUUGGUACCCGAAAGAUAGUGAACUAUGCCUGGCCAGGAUGAAGCCAGGGGAAACCCUGGUGGAAGUCCGCAGCGAUUCUGACGUGCAAAUCGAUCGUCGGAGCUGGGUAUAGGGGCGAAAGACCAAUCGAACUAUCUAGUAGCUGGUUCCCUCCGAAGUUUCCCUCAGGAUAGCUGGCACUCGCUAAAGACGAGUUUCAUCCGGUAAAGCGAAUGAUUAGGGGUGUUGGGGACGAAAUGUCCUCAGCCUAUUCUCAAACUUUAAAUGGGUGAGGUACCGGGCUUGCUUCAUUGAAGCCCCGGACACGAAUCGGAGUGCUUAGUGGGCCAAUUUUGGUAAGCAGAAUGG